Non-coding RNA from Acanthosepion pharaonis, 108 nucleotides. Lineage: Eukaryota; Metazoa; Mollusca; Cephalopoda; Sepiida; Sepiidae. The record is from the annotation of a GenBank genome assembly.
CGGCCACAAGACAUUGAAACACCAGUUCCCAUACAAUCACUGAAGUUAAGCAACAUCGAGCCUGGUCAGUACCUCUAUGGGUGACCAUUUGUGAAUACCAGUGACUGU